This 10696-nucleotide long non-coding RNA is filed under the name Salmo salar (Atlantic salmon). RNAcentral describes it as "lncRNA (ENSSSAG00000103384.1)". The record is from RNAcentral. Lineage: Eukaryota; Metazoa; Chordata; Actinopteri; Salmoniformes; Salmonidae.
GAGGAAUUGGCUGACAAAUCUAUAGAUAGCAGCCUAGCCUAAUUUCGUCCAUCAAACAGAUUACACUGGUCUGUAUGGCUUUCUUUCUUGACUGUCUGUGUGGCUUGAUGGGUUAAUACGGUUGUCCUUUCUUCACCCAAUGCCAUACCUCGCACCCAAUCCAUACCUCGCACACCCUCAGUGUCAGUGACGCAAACAGAUGAGGUCAAUCUCAGGAAGCGGGGUGUAGAUCAUGUUUUUUUUCCAAACUGCCGUCUGAGGGGACUGAGCAAUGGAGGAUGGAGGCAGGGCCAUGUCAUACCACAUCAUCAUACCACAUCCUGCCUCACCCUCCAACCUGCACCUUAUGGCUCUGUUGGCGUGGUAAUCAAAACGGACCGUUUCCUCUUGUCAACUUCGAAUGGGUGGCUUCUGGUUCGAGGUAUCCCAUGGGGCCAUAGGGCAGGGUGCGAUAAUGAGUGUUGCUGCAGAAGAGGAAAUUACGAGUAAAGGGGAAGAGGCAGUGAGAUGAGAAAGCUGGACAAUUAGACAUGAUGAGAUUGACUCUGAUUUCCCUCGCCAUGUGCCUUCCUCACCUCCUCGCCACUCUUGUCUUCCAUUCUACCACUGCGGCUUCACCAAGCGCCACAGAAACAACAACAACAGCUCUAGACCUUAGUAUCAGCACUACAACAUCAGACCCCCUGAUAAUUCCACUCUCCACAACUGAAAACCACCCUGGUAGGACUAGUGGCAUGUUCAACACACAAGUGAAGAAAAGCGCUAGCUUAGCAGCUGUCAACAACUCAGGCAGAACGACUCAAGGAAGAGGCAUUCUCAGAACAGGAACUGCCACUUACGCCACCACAGCUGUACAGAAGAGCAACAGGCACAUAACUGCAGGAGACUUGAGGAGGGAAACAGAGAGCCACAAUCACCAUGAGACUCUUCCCUUCAGCAGACACACAGCCUCACCCACAACUGACCACCCCAGCACCACCUCUCUCCCCGGGGAGGAAGGGACUGAGUAUCAUGACAGCAGCACCACUGAAACAGCCAGAGAACUGAGCACACCAAAUUCCAUAGAGACAUGGGCUGCUGACACCAUUAAUGACUCCAGGCUAGCGAAGCCACACUUAGACAGGUCACAAGCAGCAGACCAGCACCCUGCUACACAAGGACUAGAGAUUGCAUCAGGAGAUUACUACACAACACAGAGAGACUUCUUCACAAUCACCCCAACUAGUAGAGUGACAGGUUUGAACAGAGGUAAACAAAGUAAGGCCAACAGCGUCACAACAACAACAACAACGGUUUCACCUACGUACACAGUCACACGUCCUGGUUUGUAUGAGCACAUGACUGUGACUUACUGGGCUACCGGCUACAAAACACAACCUGACGACACAAGCCAGUCUAUGGACAACCAGGACCACGCCACCAUUUCAAUCCCCCAUGCUGACAAUAGGACAACUCCAUAUAUCAAUGCAAACACGUUUACAGAUAAUGACACAGACAACGACACAAACACACUUUCACACAGUAAUACCACAACCUCUAAUAAUCGUAACACAACAGUACUUUUGAAGGAGAAAACUCAUUCAUUCAGACACAACCACACAAUCUCAGGUUAUGACAACAGGCUGAACAACACAACUGAAAACACUGUGCAUGAUCGUCCUGAGUGCGGAGAGGCAGAUGAAAGGUCCCUGUCGUUGCUUCCUGGCUCUUCUAGACUGGUCUGUUUCAUUGUUCUGUGGGCUCUGGGAUUGACUGCUUCGGUCUUCCUCGGUCUCACUGUCUUCCUGUGGGUGCGUUUGUCAGUCCAGAGAGAGAGGGGAAGGAGAGUGAGGAGAGGAGGAGAGAAUGUGUCAGGGGUGGAUCUGGAGAACCUGUGGGUCGACCAGAUGUCGUCGGUGGAGGAAAGGGUUGAAUUCUGGUACACCAACGGCUCCACCAUGGGACCCGACCAUAAACGGAGGGAGAGAGAGAGAGAGAGGGUGAAGGAGAGGGGGAGGAGGGAGCAGGGGAGGCAGAAAGGGAUAGAGUGUGACAACCUGUGGACUCAACCCAAAGUGACACUGGAGGACAUCACUGAUUUCUGGUAUGCAAAUGGAAGAGCGAUACCAGAAGAAACUACAGACCAAACGCUGUUGGAGACCUGCGUAUGAUUCUGUUUUUUGUACUACAGUACUACAAUUUACCUGGAAUUACUUUGGAGAGAAAUGUUCAUCAUUAUUUUACCAAUUCCAUGGCAGAUUUGAACACUGUAAUCCUGACCAAGUUUAAACAUUUCCAAAAUGAAUUGAUAAUCUGUAUGUUUAUUGGCUGUAACAAAAGUAUAAGUAUGUGAUCUACAUAAGUCUACGGAAAGAUAGAUUAAGGCUGGGUCUGAUCAGAGAGAAAGAAGAGGACAGAGAGAGAGGAAUAGAGAGAGAGAUCAGAACAAUGUCUAACUGGAAAUAACACUUGAUAAGAGAGUUCCCAUUUUAAGACAAUUCAGACCUUGUUAGAGACACAUCAUCAUCGUGUGUCAGACAGCAACGAGGAGAUAGGUGCCAUUUCUACAAACACACUGACACAAAUACGGUUGACUCCUAAUACUGUACAUGCACUGUUAUUAGGAGCUAGUCAAAUAAAAAGGACUGCACUGGGCGUAAACAACUUAGUUUCAUUUACCUGACUGACCAUGUUUACACGCGCACAGCAUUCCAGAUAAUAGCUCAUAACCUAGUUAAGGUCUUAUUCGAGAUAAGCUGUUAAAAUACAUCUUUGAUAUCCCGCUUACGAGUAUCCCUGUAUAAACAGAAUAUUCCUAAAUUUACCCAUGAUACUAUGCAAAACUGAGCUUGUACAAACAAUGUAAAACAACAGUAAACGGAAUAAUAUAUUUGUAUGACACAGUAUCCCGUCUACAAUCAGCAUAUCCCAGGCAUUUUAACUGGGUUUCUCAUAACCGGGACACAAGCUUAUUCGGGUUAUUGUAAACGGGAUAUGAUGCUAAUAUGCGGCAACUAAAAAACGGAAUACUAGAAUAUCCCAAAUAGUAACGGAAUAUCGGUGUGCCUGUGAACAUGGUGACCUAUCAGGAAUUGACUAUAGGUCUACCUCACAAUUGAUAGUGGAUCGGCCAUUUGAUCAAUAAUGUAUAACUGUAAAUACAGUAGAAAAUAUACCCUUGUAGAAUUUAACACCUAACCAGCUGAAGUUUGACAUAUAAUGUCCCAAGACAUGAGAUUUUUUUUUUUUAUUACAUUAUAAAACAGAAUUUUCAUCAUACUCUCUCUACUUUGAAUUCUCAUGUUUUGACAACCUAUGCCCUUUGACUGCCUGCUCCCCACACACACGCACACACACCGUCAAACAAACACACAUCCAAGUAGGCCUGUGUGUACGUGUGCAAACACACUCUGGCUCAAACAUUUCAACACACACACACAGCUUCUUCUCUUUGUAGGACCAACUUCUCCUUUUUCAUCAAGAAAAUAAGCACAUGACGCAAUAAACAAAAUGAAGCUACUCUUAAGUUAUUUGGCACCUCUCUAACCCCACCACUUUCGCAGUUAACAAAACUGUUUUACGAAGAAUUUGAUACUCUGAGGGGAAGAGAUAGAGAGAACCAACUAGAGAGAGAAAGGGAGGGGAGAGAAAGAAGGGAGUGAACAGGAGGGAGGGAGGGAGGGAGCGAGCGAGCGAGAAAGGUGUUUUGGACAUGUACUAGUGCACGAGAUGUCAUUCACACAGUACAGGAGUUAAAGCAUGUGCCUUUAAGGUGGAUUCAUAAUUUCAAUCCAAUCGUUUUCUCCAAGCAACAUGUGGGUAAGUACGAUUUUAGUUUUUUAUCAAAUGGCACACAUUGAUAUAUGUCUGAUCUAAACAGACACUGAUCUGAUUAACUGUGUGAAGAGGCAAGAAAAAGGAGGGAGAGAGAUGUUUCGAAAAUACAAUCAGGUGAACUUUCUUAGGCUUGUGUUAAAUUUACUGACACGCUCUUGUAGUAAGAUGGUCCUCCUAAUGUAUCUCUUCAUAAUUCUUUUUAAAUACAUUUUUAGGGGCCAUUUUCUUUAAAUACGUUAUUUUUAUCAAUUGGUCUUUAAGUCUUCAUCUUUUAUCACUGUCUUUUUAAGACAGGCCAACUUGCUUUUAGACACUCAUUUAGAUUUUUUCCCCCCAUUUCUAUUAUAUGUAACAGUCAAAUGGAUGGUGACAUCGUAGACAAGAAUAAACAACAAAAAGUAGUGUUGGGUAACUUCCUUCAUUUUUUAGGUGUGUACUAAGCAAGCAUUUUACAUCUACAGCGGUUCAGACAGUGGAUGCUGUGAGGAGGUAAACAUAUUAUACAGUACAUGUGGCAAUGUACGCAUAAAAUAACCUCUACAUUCCUUCUUCCAUAUCUUCCUUUACCCUUCAAUCUGUCCUUUUCUCUAUAGGUCUCGUGCUUUUUUUGGUUCACCGUUGCUGCAAUCUCUCACGCUACACUUGAAAUAGACAGCUGAUACAGAAAAGUAAAGUGAAGUGCAGGGGAGUAGGAGGAAAGCUGAAGUGCGCGAGAGGAAGAGAAGGGUUGUGUCUUUCCGGUCUAUUUGCACCUAAAUACACCCUAGUGAACAACAAGCCCAGCAACCAGGAGAGACAGCAAGAGAACACAAGUUUGACUAUGUAAGUGCACUUCAUAUGCCUAACACUCAGUCAAACCUUUGUUAAUAAUCUAAGGCAUGGCCUGAAAGAAAGGGAAAUUCCGAGAGCAGUGAAGAUCAAAGCCUGACACACAAUCGUUGUCAAACCAAGAACCCCGGUACCUGAUGACGGAUACCGCUUUUCUUUUCUAGAAUGUACAUUUUUCUGCUCUAGACUUGUAAAACAAACCUCCAAUACCUUUCAAGCCACAACGCUGUCGCUGAUGCACCUCAGAAAGAGGAAGACAAACGUAAUCUGAGAGAUCAGCAAAACCCUUCAGGGACGGUUGACCUCUGUGACCCCUCUCACUUCUUGCCCAGUAUGGAGCGGAUACAGCUGAUGCUUGGGGCUCUGCUCCUCUCCCUCUCUCUGCCCAGUCUCCCUGCCCAAGAUAAUGUCACCGUCACUGUACCUGAGAAUGUCACCAUGGCAGCACCUAUUAAUGAGGAAGUCACGAUGGCAGCCUCUACACCGGAGGCCACCAUAGAGACAACGCCUGCUCCUGUGGUCAUCACUAGGGCACAGCCUGCCCCUGAAAUCAUCACCCCGGUAACUGCUAUUCCGAAAGUAACUUCUGUUUUAGUACGUACCACUGAUGCCAUCACUAUGGUAAUAACAAACCCUGAGAUCACCAUCGUUCAGGAGUCCACCUCUGAUGCACCAACUACUACUUCAGAGGUUGAAACGAUGACACCUUCCCCUGUGACCACUGAAGGGCCUAUAGAUACGACCAAUCCACCUGGUCCUAAACCCACCCUCUCCCAAGACGUCCUUAUGACCGCCUCUUAUCUCCCAACCCCUUCCCAGGACCACCUGACAUUUGUUAUCCCAGUCUGGCCCCUCCAAACCACCCCUCAUCUGACGGAGGACUCCACUUACACACCUGAACCUACACCUGCCUCAGAGAUUACUGCCUACCACACAGAGGGACUUACCACUGCACCCACCUCCCCAUUGGUCAAUCCCCCUCCCGGCCAUGCCACGACCCCCGCUACCACCCACACCUCCACAGAUCCAGACUCUACGGUGGCUGGGGUCAGGGUGAAGACAGGUCAGCCCAGCUUGUUAUGGGUCAUCAUCGUUGCUCUCCUGAUCGUGGUUAUAUUCGCGGGCGGGUUCUACUGUGUUUGUCUGGUCAUCAGACGAAAGAGGCAGAGCCACACCGAGUACUUUGUGUCCAGCUUCCGGAACGGGAAGAGUUCCAAGCGGAAGAAAGGGGCGGAGGAAGACGCCUGGGCAGGGCCAGUGAAGCUAGGGCGUGGGGAUGGGGAGGAGGAUGAGGGUGGGGAGGAGGGAGGGAGCCCAGAGGACAACAAGAGAGAGGGGGCUGGAACGGAUGUGGUGCUGAGCACAUUCAUAGCCAACGAGACUGAGGGAGAGAGGGGUGGGCCUGAUGGGGGAGUAGGAGUGGCUGGGAGCAAGGAGGCAGAGAAAUGGGAGGAGAAGGAGCCUCUGCUGUACAUUGAUGAGGGAGUGGAGGAGGGGCAAGAGAGGAUGGCUCUUCCUUCACUUUCAAAAUCGAACUGAGAAAAGACAGGAGGGGAAAAAAGAGAGGGGGAAAGUGAAAAAGAAAUGGAGAGGGGAGAAGGGAAUGGAAAGAAAGAAAAUUAGAGUGAGAGGUAAGAAGAAUGGAGGAGCGGCAUUCUGUCUAACCACUGCAGUUUAAAAAUAGAAGAGUUUUCCAUAAAAAGAUUUUCUAGGUGAUAAUGUAAAAGUUAAAAAUAUUUUUGUACUACUGAAAAGGCCUUUGACAUUGUAUGUAUCUGUGAUUGUGUGCUCUGUCAACAUAACUCAGGGAAGAUAGGAGUGGUUGUGUGCAUGGUCAUAAGUUUUACCCUUGGUAUUUUGUAUGCUGUUUUGUCUUAAUGUUUUUUUGUUAAAUAAAGUUUUAGAUGUGCAGAGUGCAUGUUCUAGAAUGAAGUUGUUGAACGUGGCAGAAUAUUAAUACUUUUUGCUUAACAAUUUGCGGUCUUCAAAUGCACUUUAUUUAUGGAACUGCUUAAAUCAAUAGCAAUCAAUUCAUAGGUGCAAAUCUGAACUUCCACUGAGACAAAUAGUCACUUAGUCUCCCAUUGACAUCAUGACUAAGUGAAUAUUCAACUUCAGUGGAAGUUGGGAUUUGUCCCAUAGAAAAGGCUUUGUUUACUUGAUUUGAUAUGGGGUUCCCGAGUGGCGCAGCGGUCUAAGGCACUGCAUCUCAGUGCUAGAGGCGUCACUACAAACACCCUGAUUUGAAUCCAGGCUGUAUCACAACCGGCUAUGAUUGGGAGUCCCAUAGGGUGGUGCACAAUUGGCCCAGCAUUGUCCGAGUUUGGCCGGUGUAGGCUGUGAUUGUAAAUAAGAAUUUGUUCUUAAUUGACUUGCCUGGUUAAAUAAAAAAAACAUACGUGUUGCUGAUUAUGGCCACUAGGUUGUGCCCUUUCCCCAUCUUUAUGAUCAGAGCACAGUUCAAUGUGACCUGCAGUAAAGAGCGGUGUUGUGAUGACGCACAGGUCUUCUAUUCUACUGGUCUGUUUUUUCUGAAGUUGCAUCUGUUGCAAACGUCUAGCAGAGAAAACAGCAGAGAUCAAAAACAGUUGUUCAGGCAAACAACUCAGUCAUAGAACCCCUCUGAUGUGAUGUGAUCACAAAUUAAACUUAAAGCCACAACAACCGCUUUUAGUAAGAUUGAUCCUUGGUAAAUAGAAAAUGUUAUCCUGGCCACUACACCACCUCAACCUUCGUCAACUAUUAUUUCAGGAAGGGGAGUAAGUAUGUGUGUGGGUUGGGGGAGGGGGGUGCGUACAACAGAAUCAGAGGAAAUAGAAGAGAAACAAAUCUGCAACUCUGUCAAAUAAAUGCCUUAAUGUCUCUCUGCUCUGCUCUGCUGAAUAGGAUAAUCUGACAGAGAAUAAUGUUUGUUUAGAGAGAGAGAAGGAGAGAGGUAGAGAGUGUGAAAGGGAGGAGGGAGAGAGAUGUGGUGAGUAAGGGGAUGGAGGUGUGGAGGAAGAAGGGGCGCUGGAGGAGCGACGGCAAAAAUACUGAGGAGAGGAGAGAGCAAGAGAGAAAAGAGAGCGGCCAACAACACAGUCACAUCUGGAAGUUAUUGAGAAGUAGAGAGAGCGAGGGAGAGAGAAAGAGAGAGAACUAUUGUGAAUUGAAAAGAGGGAGAAAGGAUAAACAAACUCUAGAUGUAGGGAUAGAUAGAUUUAUUAAAUGUAUCAACUGAGUUAAAGAUUUACGGGAGGACAGAGUUUAUCUAAAAGUUGACAAGAAUUCUACAGUGGACAGAGAGAAAGGAACAGAGGAAACAAAGAGAGAGCGCAAGAAACUGUAAUUCUAUCCUAAGAACAAUCCAUACCAAGAGGGGAGGACGACAAAGAGGGAAAAUUAAUGUAGCUUUCUAAUCUGGAGGACCGUCUAAAACAGAACAAAGUGGACUGAAUCAAAACUUAUGUUAUUGAGUUGAAAUUAAAUCAACUCAACAAAGGAGAAGAGUCCAGAGACCAAAAGAGGAGUCCCUUAGUCUGGAAUUCUUCUACGCAUUUGUCUUCCUAUCAGGGCCUGUGGAGUCAACCAUCAGACAGGAUGUCAGCCUCUCGGAGGUGCCUGUGCUGCGUGAAAUACCUCAUGUUCGUCUUCAACCUCAUCUUCUGGCUGGGAGGGUGUGGCCUGUUUGGAGUGGGAGUGUGGCUAUCAUUCACCCAGUCCGAGUUCUCCUCCCUCCCGCUGUCUUUUCCCUCACUCUCUGCAGCAAACCUACUUCUGGUCGCUGGGGGCGUCACCAUGGUGACAGGCUUCCUGGGUUGCCUUGGCGCCCUGAAGGAGCAGCGCUGCCUGCUGAUGACGUUCUUUGUAAUUCUUUUGAUCCUGGUGUUGACAGAGGUGACUCUAACCCUGGUCCUCCAUAUCUUUCACAACGAGCUGGACACGAAAGCUCAGGAUGAGUUAAAGGAGGGGAUGAAGGAUUACUUGACAGACGAAGGACUGAAGAGGUCAUGGGACAAUGUGCAGAAAAUGUUCAAGUGCUGCGGCGUGACCAACAAAACAGAUUGGUACCUCGUGAUCAACGGAACGCUCCCCUUUUCCUGCUGCUCCAGUGGGAUGGACCAAUGUGUUGAAGGAUGGAUCGAGCCGUGUUAUCAGAAGGCCAGACAGUGGCUCCUGGACAACAUCCUCUCUGUCCUGGUGUUUGGAGUCUGCAUUGGCAUUGUCCAGAUCCUGGCUCUGAUUUUCUCCCUGCUGAUGUACUGCCAGAUCCUCCGUGCUGAGAAGUACUUGGACUGAUCUGGGACUGGUCCUUCACAGACAGGAGAGGCUGAAUGAGAGACUCCCUAGCUGGCGCAGAGUUCAUCUAACGUUUCUUUCAAGUUUUGCUUCGGUUAUUUUAAAAAUAACUUCUCCACACCGCGGUGGGAACUAAAAAAAAGUGUUGGCUGGGUCCUGAAUGUUAUAUACCUGCUGCUGGGGAUGGUUUUUCAGAACAUUAGAUCCAGAUCAAAAUCAUCCUUUUUGCAUGUUCAAUUCUGUUUAAGUUUAAUAAAAUAUAUUUGAAUGAGAACACAUCACACAUUUGAAGGGUUAUUUUCCUCUGGAUUGAUGGUUCUUAGAACACUGCACUAAAAACCAUGGUGCACAUUCCAGGUCGUCUUCAUUGCGGUCAUGUUGCUCAGAUCUCACAACGCCUGGCAAAGUGUAAUUCAUUUGGCUUUGAGAGAUCUGAUCAUCUGGAAUACAGCCCUUUACUUAUCAUGUUUACGGAAGGACAUUAUUUGUAACUAUUGGGGACUACGUGCUACUUGUCACUUUCACUAUUAGCCGAUGAUAUUGUUUAGUAGUGAAAAUAUAAAGUGCUAACUCUGAUGUCCAUGAACAAGCAGUGAGAUUUGCCCCAAAGAAACACUUACAGUAUUCUGUUCAACUGCAGCAUAUUUUAAGCAGAAGUCUAAACUAUACGUUUUAAAGUGAGCCUUACCAAAGCAAAUAAAAUGUAAAUACAUUGUAAUUUGUAUGCAUGUGAAGUGGUAGUUGUUUUGUGAACUUGAGCAUUUUGUAAAAUACACACAUGUAUGACUCUGAUUGUGAAUGCGGUAAUAGUUCAAACAACUUGUUUUCCAUAUUGUGCGUAUGAGGUGUUGUCGGUAUGAAUUCACUUCUCUUAUAGUUGAGACGAGCCUAUGCUUUCAUAUACUUAUUCCGUCCAAUAGACAACUGAAGAGGUAAUUGACUUGCAAUAGGGUUCGUCAUUCUAAUGAAAUAUAUAUCACAUAUAAUUAUAAAUGGACUAUGAAAGUAUGCUAUUUAAUUAUGAUCUGCAGUCAUAACACCAAGUAAUGAAACCCAAACCAAACCGAUGACUACACUGUACAGUUCUUUGUAAAACAUGUCUAUAGAAAAACUUUGAUAAAAAAAUUAUUGUAUAAGUACACAUGAUUUUCAGACAAAUACAAUUGUGACAAUUCACGUGUCGUAGUGUUAUAAAAAGAUAAUGCCUUCUCCGUCUCUCAUCACAGGAGAGACUGAGGUCAUAGGAAGGGCCCUGAGUUCUACCUGACCUGAUCGGAAACAACUCCAGGCCUUAGUCCUAGAUUAGAGUUCAUACAGUAUUCCUGUGUUCACCAUUCAAAGGAAGUAGUGAGGAUUUCCCGAGCUGCCUUGACGGUGUAGGGUUGUCAGUCGUACUCCAAAAUCUCUAGCAAACUGAACGAUACUUUCCUGCAGAUGGAAAAUGGGAGGUGUGGGAUUAGAUUUUGAGGGAAAAUCAGAACCAGAUGCCUGAUGUGGUCAGUGACUUCUGCCUCCUGGUGGUUGUGUUUGGAAACAACCUUUAAACAGACAGGGGGCGCCAAUGUCCACAUUUACAUUUUUUAAAAGAGGGGUUAUCUUACAAUGUCACGAAAACGAUGCGCAAGCUUCAAUGGGGCAAAAAUCCGUGUGUUGUUGCGAUUCUGGAUGGCCAGAAGGCUAGCAACAAUGACAAGAUGCCAUGUGGGGAAUUGUAAGUGGCUCGUUUCAGCUAGUUUUAUCUUGUUCUUGAUACCAUACCAUGUCUUGUUUUGAG